RNAcentral lists this ribosomal RNA (2916 nucleotides) under Klebsiella pneumoniae. Its description in RNAcentral is "23S ribosomal RNA". It matches the Rfam family "Bacterial large subunit ribosomal RNA". Lineage: Bacteria; Pseudomonadati; Pseudomonadota; Gammaproteobacteria; Enterobacterales; Enterobacteriaceae. The record is from RNAcentral.
GGGUUGUGAGGUUAAGCGACUAAGCGUACACGGUGGAUGCCCUGGCAGUCAGAGGCGAUGAAGGACGUGCUAAUCUGCGAAAAGCGUCGGUAAGGUGAUAUGAACCGUUAUAACCGGCGAUGUCCGAAUGGGGAAACCCAGUGUGAUUCGUCACACUAUCGUUAACUGAAUACAUAGGUUAACGAGGCGAACCGGGGGAACUGAAACAUCUAAGUACCCCGAGGAAAAGAAAUCAACCGAGAUUCCCCCAGUAGCGGCGAGCGAACGGGGAGCAGCCCAGAGUCUGAAUCAGCUUGUGUGUUAGUGGAACGGUCUGGAAAGUCCGACGGUACAGGGUGAUAGUCCCGUACACCAAAAUGCACAGGCUGUGAACUCGAAGAGUAGGGCGGGACACGUGGUAUCCUGUCUGAAUAUGGGGACCAUCCUCCAAGGCUAAAUACUCCUGACUGACCGAUAGUGAACCAGUACCGUGAGGGAAAGGCGAAAAGAACCCCGGCGAGGGGAGUGAAAAGAACCUGAAACCGUGUACGUACAAGCAGUGGGAGCACCUUCGGGUGUGACUGCGUACCUUUGUAUAAUGGGUCAGCGACUUAUAUUCUGUAGCAAGGUUAACCGUAUAGGGAGCCGCAGGGAAACCGAGUCUUAACUGGGCGUUAAGUUGCAGGGUAUAGACCCGAAACCCGGUGAUCUAGCCAUGGGCAGGUUGAAGGUUGGGUAACACUAACUGGAGGACCGAACCGACUAAUGUUGAAAAAUUAGCGGAUGACUUGUGGCUGGGGGUGAAAGGCCAAUCAAACCGGGAGAUAGCUGGUUCUCCCGAAAGCUAUUUAGGUAGCGCCUCGUGAAUUCAUCUUCGGGGUAGAGCACUGUUUCGGCUAGGGGGUCAUCCCGACUUACCAACCCGAUGCAAACUACGAAUACCGAAGAAUGUUAUCACGGGAGACACACGGCGGGUGCUAACGUCCGUCGUGAAGAGGGAAACAACCCAGACCGCCAGCUAAGGUCCCAAAGUCAUGGUUAAGUGGGAAACGAUGUGGGAAGGCACAGACAGCCAGGAUGUUGGCUUAGAAGCAGCCAUCAUUUAAAGAAAGCGUAAUAGCUCACUGGUCGAGUCGGCCUGCGCGGAAGAUGUAACGGGGCUAAACCAUGCACCGAAGCUGCGGCAGCGACACUAUGUGUUGUUGGGUAGGGGAGCGUUCUGUAAGCCUGCGAAGGUGACCUGUGAGGGUUGCUGGAGGUAUCAGAAGUGCGAAUGCUGACAUAAGUAACGAUAAAGCGGGUGAAAAGCCCGCUCGCCGGAAGACCAAGGGUUCCUGUCCAACGUUAAUCGGGGCAGGGUGAGUCGACCCCUAAGGCGAGGCCGAAAGGCGUAGUCGAUGGGAAACAGGUUAAUAUUCCUGUACUUGGUGUUACUGCGAAGGGGGGACGGAGAAGGCUAUGUUAGCCGGGCGACGGUUGUCCCGGUUUAAGCAUGUAGGCUGAUUGUCCAGGCAAAUCCGGAUAAUCAAGGCUGAGGUGUGAUGACGAGGCACUACGGUGCUGAAGUAACAAAUGCCCUGCUUCCAGGAAAAGCCUCUAAGCAUCAGGUAACAUUAAAUCGUACCCCAAACCGACACAGGUGGUCAGGUAGAGAAUACCAAGGCGCUUGAGAGAACUCGGGUGAAGGAACUAGGCAAAAUGGUGCCGUAACUUCGGGAGAAGGCACGCUGGUGUGUAGGUGAAGUCCCUGCGGAUGGAGCUGAGACCAGUCGAAGAUACCAGCUGGCUGCAACUGUUUAUUAAAACACAGCACUGUGCAAACACGAAAGUGGACGUAUACGGUGUGACGCCUGCCCGGUGCCGGAAGGUUAAUUGAUGGGGUUAUCCGUAAGGAGAAGCUCUUGAUCGAAGCCCCGGUAAACGGCGGCCGUAACUAUAACGGUCCUAAGGUAGCGAAAUUCCUUGUCGGGUAAGUUCCGACCUGCACGAAUGGCGUAAUGAUGGCCCAGGCUGUCUCCACCCGAGACUCAGUGAAAUUGAACUCGCUGUGAAGAUGCAGUGUACCCGCGGCAAGACGGAAAGACCCCGUGAACCUUUACUAUAGCUUGACACUGAACAUUGAGCCUUGAUGUGUAGGAUAGGUGGGAGGCUUUGAAGCGUGGACGCCAGUCUGCGUGGAGCCAACCUUGAAAUACCACCCUUUAAUGUUUGAUGUUCUAACGUUGGCCCCUGACCGGGGUUGCGGACAGUGUCUGGUGGGUAGUUUGACUGGGGCGGUCUCCUCCCAAAGCGUAACGGAGGAGCACGAAGGUUAGCUAAUCCCUGGUCGGACAUCAGGAGGUUAGUGCAAUGGCAUAAGCUAGCUUGACUGCGAGCGUGACGGCGCGAGCAGGUGCGAAAGCAGGUCAUAGUGAUCCGGUGGUUCUGAAUGGAAGGGCCAUCGCUCAACGGAUAAAAGGUACUCCGGGGAUAACAGGCUGAUACCGCCCAAGAGUUCAUAUCGACGGCGGUGUUUGGCACCUCGAUGUCGGCUCAUCACAUCCCGGGCUGAAGUAGGUCCCAAGGGUAUGGCUGUUCGCCAUUUAAAGUGGUACGCGAGCUGGGUUUAGAACGUCGUGAGACAGUUCGGUCCCUAUCUGCCGUGGGCGCUGGAGAAUUGAGGGGGGCUGCUCCUAGUACGAGAGGACCGGAGUGGACGCAUCACUGGUGUUCGGGUUGUCAUGCCAAUGGCACUGCCCGGUAGCUAAAUGCGGAAGAGAUAAGUGCUGAAAGCAUCUAAGCACGAAACUUGCCCCGAGAUGAGUUCUCCCUGAGACUUUAAGUCUCCUGAAGGAACGUUGAAGACGACGACGUUGAUAGGCCGGGUGUGUAAGCGCAGCGAUGCGUUGAGCUAACCGGUACUAAUGAACCGUGAGGCUUAACCUUACAACGCCGAAG